AUGUUAUCAAUUACCCAUAUAUAGGAUAUAUGCUUCUAAGACAAUAUGAUUGUCAAUUAGAAGAUCUUCCAAAAAUUUUCAUGACUCCAUAAGAUGUAGUUGGAAAGAAAUACAAAUCUUAAUCAUGUUAAGAUUUGGGGUUGUGUGCUAAUAAGCAAUAUUUGUUUGAGAAUUAUCUUGUGGGUAUCCUUAAAUUAACAUUUGGAUAUCACUUCUAUAAACCAACUAACAAAUGUUGUUUGUUGGGUAGUUCAUUGCAAUCCUACACUAGGAUUUGCCUAAGAUAGCGCAAAUGAACAAGAGAUAGAACUCAAAGAAUGGGUUCUUUGAGAGACAAGAUGAUAAUCAACAAAUAUAACAACCUAAUUCCUAAACCACAAGCUCCAAGGUAGUCGAGAAGGAUUUAUAAACUAUCUCAGUUGAAUGGUUUGAACUUUAUGACUAUGUCAUAGAGUUACACCUCUUAAUUCGAAAGAAAUAAGAAUGAAAAUCCUUAUGACUACAUUGAGUGUAUAUACGAUAUAUACUCAAGGAAAUGGUAAAGUACCAUUUGACCCGAAAUAAUGAAACCACCAUAGCUAAUUGGUAGCUUAAGGUGACUACAAUCAAAGAGAAUGG
This 618-nucleotide long non-coding RNA is filed under the name Malus domestica (apple). RNAcentral describes it as "long non-coding RNA (MDOM_LNC019727)". Lineage: Eukaryota; Viridiplantae; Streptophyta; Magnoliopsida; Rosales; Rosaceae. The record is from RNAcentral.